CCGACAAUAAUUUAAAUAGGUCGGCAGUGAAAUGCGAGCUCACUAGACUUACUGUCUGGUAAUUUUUAUGCCCCCCUUCGAAGAAGAGGGGGUAUAUUGCUUUGCUCAUGUCGGUCGGUCGGUCGGUAGGUCGGUCGGUCCGUCCGUCCACCAGGUGGUUGUCGUAUGAUAACUCAAGAACGCAUACGCCUAGGAUCAUGAAACUUCAUAGGUAGAUUGAUCAUGACUCGCAGAUGACCCCUAUUAAUUUUGAGGUCACUAGGUCAAAGGUCAAGGUCACGGUGACCCGAAAUAGUAAAAUGGUUUCCGGAUCAUAACUCAAGAACGCAUACGCUUAGGAUCAUGAAACUUCAUGGGUAGAUUGAUCAUGACUCGCAGAUGACCCCUAUUGAUUUUGAGGUCACUAGGUCAAAGGUCAAGGUCACGGUGACCCGAAAUAGUAAAAUGGUUUUCGGAUGAUAACUCAAGAACGCAUACGCCUAGGAUCAUGAAACUUCAUGGGUAGAUUGAUCAUGACUCGCAGAUGACCCCUAUUAAUUUUGACGUCACUAGGUCAAAGGUCAAGGUCACGGUGACCCGAAAUAGUAAAAUGGUUUCCGGAUCAUAACUCAAGAAGGCAUACGCCUAGGAUCAUGAAACUUCAUGGGUAGAUUGAUCAUGACUCGCAGAUGACCCCUAUCAAUUUUGAGGUCACUAGGUCAAAGGUCAAGGUCACAGUGACCCGAAAUAGUAAAAUGGUUUCCGGAUGAUAACUCAAGAACGCAUACGCCUAGGAUCAUGAAACUUCAUAGGUAGAUUGAUCAUGACUUGCAGAUGACCCCUAUCGUUUUUGAGGUCACUAGGUCAAAGGUCAAGGUCACAGUGACCUGAAAUAGUAAAAUGGUUUUCGGAUGCUAACUCAAGAACGCUUUUGCCUAGGAUCAUGAAACUUCAUAGGUAGAUUGAUCAUGACUCGCAGAUGACCCCUAUUGAUUUUGAGGUCACUAGGUCAAAGGUCAAGGUCACAGUGACAAAAAUCGUGCUCACACAAUGGCUGCCACUACAAUGGACAGCCCAUAUGGGGGGCAUGCAUGUUUUACAAACAGCCCUUGUUACUUUCAGUUUGUAUAUCUCUUACAGUUUUUACAACAUUUGUUGUAGUCAUGAUUUGUGGACAUAUCAUUUGCAUC
Molecule: long non-coding RNA, 1169 nt
Organism: Dreissena polymorpha
Lineage: Eukaryota; Metazoa; Mollusca; Bivalvia; Myida; Dreissenidae
Exons: 3
Source: RefSeq, a predicted model, not a curated record